Long non-coding RNA from Zonotrichia leucophrys gambelii, 1276 nucleotides. RefSeq lists it as uncharacterized. NCBI's taxonomy places the organism in Eukaryota, Metazoa, Chordata, Aves, Passeriformes, Passerellidae. The record is from RefSeq and is a predicted model, not a curated record. The transcript has 4 exons.
CUGGAGGUUAAAUUUUGUACAUGGCCAGGUGGUGCUCCUUUGAGGUAGAGAGAGUCUAGUCCUGGAGGGUGGUUGUGAUGUGAAGCUAUUUUUUUUCCUUUUGGCUGUUUUCUCUAGCUGUGUCUGUGUGGGGAGUAGGUGCCGUUGCCUUGUCUCAGAGGGUGCUGACACUGCUGAAUUUUGCUCAUGGGUGACUUGUCACAGAUCCUUUACAAGAAGAAUAUAUAAAUAAGCUCUGAUUUCACAAGCUACAAAUGAGGCUCAGUGCUGACCAAGCCGUGCUGAAACAAGAACAAGGGGAGAACCAGUGCUAGGAUCAGCAAGUUGCCAGUCUGGCAGCUGAGUUUAUGGCUCUGCAGAAAAGGGGGCACCCAGCAGCAAGGAAAGGAAGUGGAUCCUGAGAAAUCCAUCUGAGCCUUGUCCUGGAGCCUGUGGGUGUUGAUGAGUUUUGGCUCAGGAGAUGAGGAUCCAGCUCCCCAGGGGAUGUUUGUUAACACAGCAAAAAAAGAGCUGCAAGAAAGACAUGGUGUGCAGAGAGAAGGGCUCUGGGGCUCUUAGGUAAUAUCUGUUUAAGGCAAAAUAAAUAAGACUUGUAGGAGACUUGAAAAACUGCACUGACAAGUUUUGCCAGUGAUUAGAGAAUUUUUAGCUAAAUUAUACUGUGAAGAGUAAGUUCAUAAAAAGAGGAAGUGAGAUUUGCCCAGAUGCUCUCAAAAGUUAACUUUGAGUCUUCUAAUUGCAUCUUGAUUCAGUAAGUGAUAUAACCCCAUGCUUGAGAUUCUCUGAAAAUAAUAUUUUCAACUCUGAGAAGCAAGAGAUUGCCAAAAUAAUUAAAUCUAAAUGAUGUUUUAAUGAAUAUAUAAUGGAAUCAGGGAAAAUAAUUUUAUGAAGCAGUGUUUAGAGCAGAACUGCCCAAACAAUCCAGCAAUGACUUAAAAAGCAAGGAUAAGAAUGUUCUAAGUCAGCAUAGCAGAAGUUAGACUAUUUUUGAAUUAGGAUAAAGACUGUUCUCAUGGGUAAAGGAUUGUGCUAGGUCAGAGUACUGUGCAGUGUGUGGUGAAAUACCCCAAAGAUGCUCUGAUAUCAUGGUGUGCUCCAUCACCUGGGUCAGUUUUUGGCCAAAAAUGUGUUGUAGGCAUCACAGUAGGUGCAUAUAUCUUGAUGUAUGGCAAGCAAGCCCAUCAGCUCUCUGGAAUGGAUUUCUUCUUCCUCUACAUUUUGCCUCUGGAGACAACCACAUUUUAUACAGUUCUGGCAAAACCACAAGGCUUCUAAA